AAAACAAUUGUCAUUCCGUGUGUAGUGGCGAGCGAUAGCGGAUGAGGCUAAACCGUGUGCGUGUGAUACCUGGCAGGGGUUGCGUGUGCGGUGUUGUGGGACGCAAAUGUUGCAGGCUGCCGACUGCAAGCGCAAUUUGCAUGCAUCAGCGGAAGCAUCUGGGAUGGUGCACCGGAGUAGGUGAAUAGUCCUGUACGUGAAGGUGUGUGUGGUUGUGUUGUUUGUGUUCCCGAGUAGCAGCGGGCUCGUGGAAUCUGCUGUGAAUCUGCCGGGACCACCCGGUAAGCCUAAAUACUCAGUGUGACCGAUAGUGGAUGAAGUACCGUGAGGGAAUGGUGAAAA
Molecule: ribosomal RNA, 342 nt
Filed under: Leptocylindrus danicus
Lineage: Eukaryota; Bacillariophyta; Leptocylindrophyceae; Leptocylindrales; Leptocylindraceae
Description: partial Bacterial large subunit ribosomal RNA
Rfam family: Bacterial large subunit ribosomal RNA
Source: RNAcentral